This 819-nucleotide ribosomal RNA is filed under the name uncultured archaeon. RNAcentral describes it as "bacterial SSU rRNA". It matches the Rfam family "Archaeal small subunit ribosomal RNA", at positions 53 to 880 of the family's 1478-position model. The record is from RNAcentral.
GCGAGUCAACGCCGCAAGGCGUGGCAUACGGCUCAGUAACACGUAGUCAACAUGCCCAAGGGACGUGGAUAACCUCGGGAAACUGAGGAUAAACCGCGAUAGGCCAAGAUUUCUGGAAUGGAUCAUGGCUGAAAUCUAUAUGGCCCUUGGAUUGGACUGCGGCCGAUCAGGUUGUUGGUGAGGUAAUGGCCCACCAAACCUAUAACCGGUACGGGCUUUGAGAGAAGGAGCCUGGAGAUGGGCACUGAGACAAGGGCCCAGGCCCUAUGGGGCGCAGCAGGCGCGAAAACUCUGCAAUAGGCGAAAGCUUGACAGGGUUACUCUGAGUGAUGUCCGCUAAGGGCAUCUUUUGGAACCUCUAAAAAUGGUGCAGAAUAAGGGGUGGGCAAGUCUGGUGUCAGCCGCCGCGGUAAUACCAGCACCCCGAGUGGUCGGGACGAUUAUUGGGCCUAAAGCAUCCGUAGCUUGUCCUGCAAGUCUUCCGUUAAAUCCACCUGCUCAACAGAUGGGCUGUGGGAGAUACUACAGGGCUAGGAGGCGGGAGAGGCAAGCGGUACUCAGUGGGUAGGGGUAAAAUCCUCUGAUCCACUGAAGACCACCAGUGGCGAAGGCGGCUUGCCAGAACGCGCUCGACGGUGAGGGAUGAAAGCUGGGGGAGCAAACCGGAUUAGAUACCCGGGUAGUCCCAGCUGUAAACGAUGCAGACUCGGUGAUGGGUUGGCUUCGGGCCAACCCAGUGCCGCAGGGAAGCCGUUAAGUCUGCCGCCUGGGGAGUACGGUCGCAAGACUGAAACUUAAAGGAAUUGGCGGGGGAGCACA